Molecule: unclassified non-coding RNA, 383 nt
Filed under: fungal sp.
Lineage: Eukaryota; Fungi
Description: partial internal transcribed spacer region
Rfam family: Eukaryotic small subunit ribosomal RNA (bases 1-46)
Source: RNAcentral
AAGUCGUAACAAGGUUUCCGUAGGUGAACCUGCGGAAGGAUCAUUAACACGUAUCUAAACGUUAAAACCCCCCCCCCGUGAACCUUCAUCCUGCUCUUGUAACCCGCGUAGUUCGCAAUCUCUGAUAAAGCAUAGCCCGGAAAGUUGUAGUGAUUCAGAGACCUCUGGCUACGUGCGAACAUUGGAACAGUUACAGUGUCGGAAAGUGUCAUUGAUUGUGCAAGGAUAGCGCUUCUACGAUUCCUGUCGACCGUACACCCGGGCAGGAGCUUUGCCAAAGGGUCCCCAUGCCCCCUAAUAACCCCACAGUUUAAUGUGAAGCUCAAUGUAAUACAUUGGAUAAAAAAACCGAACAACUGUUAACAAUGGAUAUCUUGGUUCUC